UCAGGUGGCCGCAGAGAAUAGGCCCAAGCGACUGUUUACCAAAAACAUAGGUUUCUGCUAAGUCGCAAGACGAUGUAUAGGAGCUGACGCCUGCCCGGUGCUGGAAGGUUAAGGGGAUCUGUUAGAGCAAUCGAAGCAGUGAACUUAAGCCCCAGUAAACGGCGGCCGUAACUAUAACGGUCCUAAGGUAGCGAAAUUCCUUGUCGGGUAAGUUCCGACCCGCACGAAAGGCGUAACGAUUUGGGCACUGUCUCAACAACAGACUCGGUGAAAUUGUAAUUCCGGUGAAGAUGCCGGAUACCUGCGACAGGACGGAAAGACCCCAUGGAGCUUUACUGUAGCUUGACAUUGGGUCUUGGUACUACAUGUACAGGAUAGGUGGGAGGCUUUGAAACCAGGACGCCAGUUUUGGCGGAGCCAUCCUUGGGAUACCACCCUUGUAGUACUGGGACUCUAACCAUAGGCCAUGAAUCUGGUCUUGGGACACUGUCAGGUGGGCAGUUUGACUGGGGCGGUCGCCUCCCAAAAGGUAACGGAGGCGC
RNAcentral lists this ribosomal RNA (542 nucleotides) under Clostridioides difficile. RNAcentral describes it as "bacterial LSU rRNA". It matches the Rfam family "Bacterial large subunit ribosomal RNA", at positions 1769 to 2309 of the family's 2925-position model. Lineage: Bacteria; Bacillati; Bacillota; Clostridia; Peptostreptococcales; Peptostreptococcaceae. The record is from RNAcentral.